Molecule: long non-coding RNA, 1203 nt
Organism: Carassius auratus (goldfish)
Lineage: Eukaryota; Metazoa; Chordata; Actinopteri; Cypriniformes; Cyprinidae
Exons: 5
Source: RefSeq, a predicted model, not a curated record
GGGGCCUCCUGUGCCUACUAGUAGGCUCAGAAGGCCGUGAUCAUCCAUCCAAAUGGUUGAUCACCCACAAAUAUACAAGAGAAAACUCCAGAUCCAAUCCCAGAAUUCCUGCUCACCGGUAAUCGGAAGUCUACUGGACGAAUGCGGGAACGUUGCGAUUUCCUGCUUAAUAUUUUCAGAUAUGGGAAAAGCACUUAAGAUGAGCACACGUUUCAGGAACGUUAAAAUUAAGUUGGUGAGGAGGUCUAUGGUGGGCCCUGCAAAGUUUUCUUACCUCAGUCAAGGUCUUCCCCAGCCCAGCUACAAACAGACCCACCCUUCAGACGCUAUUACAUCCCAACCUGCUGAACCUGAUGAUGUGACACCGAGCUGUUCUGAGAGCGCAUACAGUAAGGCAAAGAAGAGAGAGCUUCAUGCCUGGGAUGCAGUCAAGGAUGAGAUGCUUAAGGUGAUGUUUGAAUGUUCAGCACCGAUCACUACCCAGUGUGCUGUCUGCUGAGAACAUGCUGAUUAUAGGUGCAUUGAGUGCAGCUCCACUGCAGUGUUCUGUGAGGUUUGCCUGAAGAGGAUUCACAGAAAUUUACUGCAUCUUCCUGAAAAGUGGAAUAAUGUUUACUAUGAGCCAUCGUCCCUGGGGUUAUUCUUAUAUUUACCUGAAGGCCAUGGCACCCAUGCUGUGUACACAAAGGACAUGAAGGUCAUUGUCAGCACAGGACGGCUCUGCACCGUUACAGUCAACAUGUAUGCGUGUGAACCAGAAACCUGUACUCUGCUAAGAUAUGGACUGACCAGACAGCCUUCUCCAUCCCUCUGCUAGAGCUUUCUGUUUCUCUGUCACUGGAGUGUCAGGUUUCUGUUGAGGGUUUUUCGCAACACCCCAUAUCCCAUUUUAGGCAUCACCACUUCCGACAAAGAAGUUUGGUUGAUAUUUGCCCACAAUUAAAUGAUGGCACCAUAUGCCCAGCAUGUCCAAAGGCGGAUGGAGAUAUGAUUGUCACAUUUGAUGCUAACUUUGGCCUUGUGAGGAAUCAAAGCUCUGGGACAAGUGCGGUUGAUCCAUUACACGGAACCCGCGUGUUUGUUGAUGAAAAGGAUGUAGAGGAAUACCUGCUAUCACAUCUUGACAGCUCAAAGCCUCGAGGUUAAUCAUUGUUGCAGAAUUUCAUUCGAGUCCAUGAAAUAUUAAUUAAACUUGUGAAAAAA